Molecule: unclassified non-coding RNA, 507 nt
Filed under: uncultured Glomeromycotina
Lineage: Eukaryota; Fungi; Glomeromycota
Description: SSU rRNA
Rfam family: Eukaryotic small subunit ribosomal RNA
Source: RNAcentral
CCAAUAGCGUAUAUUAAAGUUGUUGCAGUUAAAAAGCUCGUAGUUGAAUUUCGGGAUUGACGUGAUGGUCAUGCCUUAAGGGGUAUGAACUGUUACAGUUGAUUUCUCACCUUCUGGAGAAACUCGAUGUCCUUUAUUGGGUGUCUUGCGGAUCCAGGACCUUUACCUUGAAAAAAUUAGAGUGUUUAAAGCAGGCAUUUUUGCUCGAAUACAUUAGCAUGGAAUAAUAGAAUAGGACGGCAUGGUUCUAUUUUGUUGGUUUCUAGGAUCACCGUAAUGAUUAAUAGGGAUAGUUGGGGGCAUUAGUAUUCAAUUGUCAGAGGUGAAAUUCUUGGAUUUAUUGAAGACUAACUACUGCGAAAGCAUUUGCCAAGGAUGUUUUCAUUAAUCAAGAACGAAAGUUAGGGGAUCGAAGACGAUCAGAUACCGUCGUAGUCUUAACCAUAAACUAUGCCGACUAGGAAUCAGACGAUGUUAAUUUUUUAAUGACUCGUUUGGCACCUUACG